This 428-nucleotide ribosomal RNA is filed under the name uncultured bacterium. Its description in RNAcentral is "bacterial SSU rRNA". It matches the Rfam family "Bacterial small subunit ribosomal RNA", at positions 354 to 796 of the family's 1533-position model. The record is from RNAcentral.
GUAGGGAAUAUUGCACAAUGGAGGAAACUCUGAUGCAGCGACGCCGCGUGAGUGAUGAAGGCCUUCGGGUCGUAAAGCUCUGUCGCAGGGGAAUAACACAAUGAAGGUACCCUGUAAGAAAGGAUCGGCUAACUUCGUGCCAGCAGCCGCGGUAAGACGAGGGAACCUAGCGUUGUUCGGAAUCAUUGGGCGUAAAGCGGAUGUAGGUGGCUAUGUAAGUCAGAUGUGAAAGCCUGGGGCUCAACCCCAGAAGUGCAUUUCAUACUGCGUAGCUUGAGUGUCGGAGAGGUUACUAGAAUUGUUGGUGUAGUGGUGAAAUACGUAGAUAUCAACAGGAAUACCGGAGGCGAAGGCGGGUAACUGGCCGAACACUGACACUGAGAUCCGAAAGCGUGGGGAUCAAACAGGAUUAGAAACCCUGGUAGUCC